CCAGCACUAAUGCACCGGAUCCCAUCAGAACUCCGCAGU
Molecule: ribosomal RNA, 39 nt
Filed under: Chenopodium giganteum
Lineage: Eukaryota; Viridiplantae; Streptophyta; Magnoliopsida; Caryophyllales; Amaranthaceae
Source: RNAcentral